UACGGAGGAUGCGAGCGUUAUCCGGAUUUAUUGGGUUUAAAGGGUGCGUAGGCGGACGCUUAAGUCAGCGGUAAAAUUGCGGGGCUCAACCUCGUCGAGCCGUUGAAACUGGGUGCCUUGAGUGGGCGAGAAGUACGCGGAAUGCGUGGUGUAGCGGUGAAAUGCAUAGAUAUCACGCAGAACUCCGAUUGCGAAGGCAGCGUACCGGCGCCCAACUGUCGCUGAAGCACGAAGGCGUGGGUAUCGAACAGG
RNAcentral lists this ribosomal RNA (252 nucleotides) under uncultured bacterium. Its description in RNAcentral is "partial 16S ribosomal RNA". It matches the Rfam family "Bacterial small subunit ribosomal RNA", at positions 524 to 776 of the family's 1533-position model. The record is from RNAcentral.